This 4481-nucleotide long non-coding RNA is filed under the name Nicotiana benthamiana. Its description in RNAcentral is "long non-coding RNA (NBEN_LNC022813)". Lineage: Eukaryota; Viridiplantae; Streptophyta; Magnoliopsida; Solanales; Solanaceae. The record is from RNAcentral.
AUAUUAUUUUGUGAACUCAGCUACAUUUACACUCAACCCGAGAUUUAAUAACAUUUAUAAUGAUAUUGAGCUGAGCACUAUUGUUUACUGAUUCCUAAGGGGAUUAUGAUUAUUUUCUGUACUGAUUGAGGUCAAGGGCCGUCUGUGAGGAUAUGAGAGUGAUGUGAGGAGGCUUUCAGGCCUUGAGUGUGAUGUACGAAGGCUUUCAGGCCUUAUGUUGAUAUGAAGGCUUUUAGGCCUAUUGAUAUUGCGCUUGGGCUGUAGGAGCCCCUCCGGAGUCUGUACACACCCCCAGUGAGCGCAGGAUACCCAGGUGAGUUGGGAGUGGGCCCGAGGGGCCGUGUUUGUGUGUGGUGAGUUGGGAGUGGGCCCGAGAGGCCGUUAUGUGUGUGUUGAGUUGGGAGUGAGCCUGUGGGGCUGAUACUAUACUGAUAUGUUGAAAUUGAGCCCGAGGGGCAAGCUUUUGAUUAUUCCUUAUUGUUGAAAGUAAUUGUCUUUACUGUUUUAUUGUAUAACUGAUUUCACUGCUUGAGAUAGCGCUAUAUUGUGCCUUUAUGAGAUUUCAUGCUUUCAGUUGUCAUUUAUUUUUAUUACUUACUAGGUCGGAGUAAUCACAUUACUCCCUGCACCAUGUGUGCAGAUACAGGCAGAGCUAAGUUCGCUCUUGGGCGCUGAAUCUUUCCAAAGAGGCAGUGAUUAGGAGUAACAAGGUAGCUGUUGACGUUUGCAACCCCAUUUUCUCCCUUAUCUUUUGUUAUUUAUGAUAUUUCCAGACUUGUAAAAUAUUGCGUANNNNNNNNNNNNNNNNNNNNNNNNNNNNNNNNNNNNNNNNNNNNNNNNNNNNNNNNNNNNNNNNNNNNNNNNNNNNNNNNNNNNNNNNNNNNNNNNNNNNNNNNNNNNNNNNNNNNNNGAUGAUAUUAGACUUAUUCUUGCUAAGUAACUGUUAAAAGAAGUGUAGUUAUCCCUGUUGGCUGGCCUUGUUUUCAUGAGAGGCGCCAUCACGACCGGGUUGGGAAUUUGGUCGUAACAUAUAGUUCAAGCGAAACUGUUGACAACUGUCAGGCAGAGUCUCGAGGACCAUCUCAACUUGACACUCCUUAUCAAUCACAGCUCCAAGGACCUCCAGUUCAUUCAGAAGACUCAUCAUCUUGAGAACAUGGUCCCUGACCGAUGAUCCUUCAGCCAUUUUGGUGUUCAAAAGGGCUUUCAUGGCUGUCUGCUUGGCUGCACGAUUUUUCUCACUGAACAUCUCUUUCAGACUUUCGAGCAUAUCAUAAGUAGACCACAUAGACUGAUGCUGAUGUUGCAAAACAUUUGCCAUAGAGGCAAGAAUGUAACAUCGCUCCAUCUCAUCAGCCUUAACCCAUUUGUCAUAGGCCUUAACAUGAUCAUCAGUAGCAUUUUCAGGUUUUUCUGGGCACUUUACAAAUUUGUAACCUUCAGCAGUUAGGACUACAUCAAGAUUCCUUUUCCAGUCAACAUAAUUCGGUCCUUCUAACUUGUUUUGUUUCAAAAUUGAGGUAACUGGGUUGAAUGAAGACAUGGUUAAUCUGAGAGAUAUUCAAUUCCUUCUAACUUGUUUUGGUUCAAAAUUGAGGUAAGUGGGUUGAAUGAAGACAUGGUUAAUAUGAGAGAUAUUCACAUUAAAUAGAUCAUUAGAUAUGUAUUUGGAAUGAUUAAAUUCAAAAUAGCACACUACACAUAUAACCAUGCUCAUUGAGCAGUUAGAUUCGUUCGAAAAACUAAACCAUUUAUGCAAAAUAUAUGAGUGAUGUAAGAUAUUAACCCCAUAAAUUUAAAUAGGACCAACUCAGAUGGAGAGUAAACUGUUAAUUUAAGAUAGGUAAAUAUCACUUUUAUGAACUCUAGUUUCAUUCAGUCAACAUGUAACUCAGUUGGAGAGUUAAUACAAGUAAUGAAAUAACUAGAGGCAAAACUACAGUAAUUAUCUAUAAUGAAUUUAUCUGAUGUGGAAGAAGACCUAUGUCAACAUAUAAAUUCAUUAUAUAACUGUAAAACAUGAUUGGAAACAAUGGGGAUCCAAUGUGGAAGAAGAGCUAUGUCAACAUAUAAAUUCAAUAUAUAACUGUAAAACAUGAUUGGAAACAAUGGGAAUUGAACCCUACCAUCACAUAUUUCUAUUAAUAAAUACUUUUUUUUUUAAAAAUCCAGAAAAUAGAAAAAAGGCCAAAACUCCCUAUAAACGACCCCGAAUGCCCCAAAAAUGACGUACAUCAUUAGAAAAGCUAAUGUGUUCUUUAAGUUAGGCCGUUUCCGAUGAACCUACCAAAUUUGAGGUAAAUCGGAGUUCGACAGAAUUUCAGAAUUCUACGCGUGACUAGAAUUCUGUUUUGGCGUUUUAAGGGUUUUUAAUUAUUUUGACUUGUUCAAAUCACAUAAUAUACUGAUGAAUCGUUAACAUAUGAUUUCAGAACUCAAAAUAAUUUUUUUUAUUUAAUAAAAACGUUUUUAGCCAGAAUAGUAAAAACAAUAUAUUUUCACUUGUAAAAAACGGUAUUGUUCAUAAUUAUGUAUAUUAAUUCAAAAUUACAGAACUAAUAUCAUACUUCAGUCAAGUUUUUAUUAAUGUAACACUGUGAUUAUGGACAUAACGUAACUAAAACAGAUUAACCCAUAAUCACAACAUUAAUAGCAUUUAAAGAAAAACAGUCACGUUUUCAUCAAAAAAUUUUGCUGUUCAUCAGCAAAAAAAACGUAAUUUUGAACAGACUAUUAUUUAAAUAUGACAACACCGUUUAUACAUAUGUAUAUUAAUACAAAAUUUCAGAAUUACAGAAUUAAGAUACAAUCACGUUUUUAACAUAGAAUAAUCAUCUCAAACAUGUAACAAUAAAUAACACGUUUUAAUAUUACUCUAUGCAUGCUGUAUUACAUUAUCUAGUUAGAUGUAAGACGGCGUCUACUACCAAUUGUUAGAACAUGCGCAGCGGAAGCAAGCAUACAAUUCAGGCAUCAAAUACAUGUAAACUAGACAACGUAAUAAAACGAGUUUAGAAGUACUAACCUCUUGAAGUAGUUGCACAAACCUUCCAAGCAGCAAUAAUCCAGGGCUGCAGUCUUCUGCUAUUUGCCUAGUAAAACCUUCGGACGUUCUGCUAUUGGGUGGGCAAGAACAAUACAACUAAAAGGUAAAUAAUUAGGUAAAACUAGUCUUCCGUUAAUAGAGUUGUUUUUGGCCAAAACUAGUCCUCACAAACGUGUAGGAUUCUUCUUCUGCAAGUAGAAUCCUACUCCAACUCUAUUAGAUGACUUUUCUCCCAGGUCACAUUUUACCCAAGUUUGUCCAGGUUUUACUAGGUAUAGCAGGGACCACAGAAAUAAUAAGAGGUUACUAAUUAUAGUAUUAAUUCGAAAUUAGCAUGAAUUAAUUCUUACUAUAAUUAUUGCAAUUUAUUCCACUAAAACACUACAAUUGAAAUCCUCAAUAUGAAUUUCGAAAAUUCACUAACACUUACUUUAACUCCCCAUGUUAAGAUUUCAAAUACAAGUUAAUCAAAUUAAAUCACUGAAAAUUUAAUUCAAUUAACUAAAUAAAUCCUUUAUAAUUCCGCUUAACCUAUUUCAUGUAACGGAUACAAAAUCCAUCGGCCGGGUUUUCACAUGAAAACUUAUAAGCUUACAUAAAGGGGUAUCAUCAAACCCAAAACCGAGUCAUGAAUUUUAUCAACUAAUUAUUAUUCACAAAUGUUAUUCGUUAUUGUCCAAUCUUUUAGGCAUAUACUAACUCUAAAUAGAGUCGUACCUUUUGAUAAAUCAAAACAAUAAACAAAUUAUACUGAUCAUAAUAAUUAUAUCAAGAUUAGUAUAAGCUCACUUAAUGAAUUAAAGAAAAUAUAUUAUAUAUUCAGUACAAAAAUAUCUUUUCUCUACUUGGUCCGUUCAAUAUACACUGAGUAUACUAUCACAAGAAGUUGGAGUAAAACCACUUCCAUAAUCAAAACAAAUUAUACAAUAAUCUUGUGCUACAUUUACACUCAACCCGAGAUUUAAUCAUAUUUAUAAUGAUAUUGAGCUGAGCACUAUUGUUUACUGAUUCCCAAGGGGAUUAUGAUUAUUUUCUGGACUCAUUGAGGCCAAGGGCCGUCUGUGAGGAUAUGAGAGUGAUGUGAGGAGGCUUUCAGGCCUCGAGUGUUAUGUGAGGAGGCUUUCAGGUCUUGAGUGUGAUGUACGAAGGCUUUCAGGCCUUAUGUUGAUAUGAAGGCUUUUAGGCCUAUUGAUAUUGCGCUUGGGCUGUAGGAGCCCCUCCGGAGUCUGUACACACCCCCAGUGAGCGCAGGAUACCCAGGUGAGUUGGGAGUGGGCCCGAGGGGCCGUGUUUGUGUGUGGUGAGUUGGGAGUGGGCCCGAGAGGCCGUUAUGUGUGUGUUGAGUUGGGAGUGAGCCUGUGGGGCUGAUACUAUACUGAUAUGUUGAAAUUGAGCCCGAGGGGCAAGCUUUUGAUUAUUCCUUAUUGUUGAAAGU